GGGGAAGGGUAGCUUGCUACCUGACCUAGCGGAGGCCGGGUGAGUAAUGCUUAGGAAUCUGCCUAUUAGUGGGGGACAACAUUCCGAAAGGAAUGCUAAUACCGCAUACGCCCUACGGGGGAAAGCAGGGGAUCUUCGGACCUUGCGCUAAUAGAUGAGCCUCAAUUUAUAUAGCUAGGGGGGUGGGGUAAAGGCCUACCAAGGCGACGAUCAAGAACCGGGUCUGAGAGGAUGAUCCGCCACACUGGGACUGAGACCCGGCCCAGACUCCUACGGGAGGCAAGCAGUGGGGAAUAUUGGGACAAUGGGCGAAAGCCUGAUCCAGCCAUGCCGCGGGUGAGAAGAAGGCCUUUCGGCCUGAAAAGCCCCUCCACGCCAGGAGGAGGCUCCCGAGAUCAAAACUGUCGGAUAAGGCACGUUUACUCGCCAAAAACGGACCGGGUAACUUUGUGCCACCAACUGCGCGUAUCAAGAGGGCGCAACACCAAUCGCAUACUGGG
Molecule: ribosomal RNA, 500 nt
Filed under: uncultured bacterium
Lineage: Bacteria
Description: bacterial SSU rRNA
Rfam family: Bacterial small subunit ribosomal RNA
Source: RNAcentral